RNAcentral lists this long non-coding RNA (1255 nucleotides) under Bos indicus x Bos taurus (hybrid cattle). RNAcentral describes it as "lncRNA (ENSBIXG00000016812.1)". Lineage: Eukaryota; Metazoa; Chordata; Mammalia; Artiodactyla; Bovidae. The record is from RNAcentral.
UGAGGAUUCCCUUCUUAUGUCUGAUUAGGAGAGAAGGGGAGGGUAAAUUUCGGCAUUCUUGUGUUUUCCAGAAGAAAAAGGGCUGGCGAUGGAGUUGGAAGUGGCUGGAGAUGAGGCUGAGAACUGGAACUUAGAUGUGUUUAGCUUGACAUGGAGAAUUAAACUUGAGAAUGACUGUGGACCGGGAUGGGUCUGAGGGAUGGGCUGAUGGUAAGUGUGGAGAAUGGUUAAAAUUAGAUAGGGAGGUGGGAAGAGGAUUGAAAAUGGCUGGGAACUGAUGUACAUUAAGAGUAUGGGUAGGGCUGGGUAGGAGGGACUUCCCUGGUGGCCCAGUGGCAGAGGAACCUGGAAGGUUACACACAGUCCAUGGGAUCACAAAGAGUUGGACACGACUGAACAGCAACAAGGUUGGAGGGGAGAUAAGAAAGUGGGAUGGAAACUUGGGUUGAUGUUGGAGAAGACCCCCCACCCCCACCCCAGGGGAUUUAAGGUGGACCUGGAGAAGGAACUGGGCUCUUCCCUUCCCUCCCAGAUGGGUCCUGCUGCCUGAAAGUUCACAGUGGGUUCAACUUGGGCGGAACCAGAUCUGGGUCCUAGCUUGUCCUGGGAGCUCCGCCCCACUGAGAAGGGCCAAGCCCAGGCUGGGGGUGCCCAAAGACAGCCUGCUGAGCUAUUGGGGGUGGAGAAGGGAAGGCCAGCAACAGGGAAACGAUGAAGGCGCUGGGGGAGGGAGUUCAGGGGUUAAAAGCCAUGGGUCGAGGCUGAAGUUGGAGGCAGCUGGCAGCAGAAGUCACGCGGGGCCCCAACCCAGGCUCCGCCCGCCCUGCCCCCCACCACAAAGUCACUAUGUGGCCCCUGGCCGCUGCGAUCUCUUUCCUGAUGGUGGCCUGGUCAGGAGUGACUUUCCCCCAAACCCUCCAAUGUGCCAACAUCGAGCUUCGCUCAGAUGAAGAGUGUCGUCAAGUCUACCCGGGGAAGAUCACACCCAACAUGCUCUGUGCCGGCACAAAAGAGGGUGGCAAGGACUCCUGUGAGGGUGACUCCGGGGGUCCCCUGGUCUGUAACGGAACACUUCAUGGCAUCAUCUCCUGGGGAGACUUCCCAUGUGGGCAGCCCAACCGGCCUGGUGUCUACACCCGAGUUUCUCAGUAUGUUCCAUGGAUCCAAGAAACAAUCCAAAAGCGGAAAACUUGUAAACAGGAAUGGACGAAGGGCCCACAAUAAAAGUCGGGUUGGCGUUCCUGCUCUCUUACUC